GUGGGGUCCUUGAAGGGUUAGUUCCUCUACUGUCAUCAUUGCUAUUUUCUGCUUGCAGUAUGAGGUCCUCGAAGGUUUAGCCUCUAUCGGCCAUACGGGGUCCCUAAAAGAUUAGCCCCUGUCGGCCUCAGUUGGUCGUACAAAGUCCUCGAAGAGUUAACCCAUUCAUCUUCAUCAUCGUAGCCAUCGCUUGACCUACUUAUAGGCAAGGAGCACCAUAUGUGUUGAAUGUAUGCCCUAGAAGUCAAUCUUGGCUGACGUAUAUCAUAUCUCUAAGAUAUGAUUUUGUACUUUAUGGAUAUUUAUGU
Molecule: long non-coding RNA, 308 nt
Filed under: Elaeis guineensis (African oil palm)
Lineage: Eukaryota; Viridiplantae; Streptophyta; Magnoliopsida; Arecales; Arecaceae
Description: long non-coding RNA (EGUI_LNC034290)
Source: RNAcentral